GGCUCAUAAAUGAUGACAUGAGAGUAGUGGACAGAAGGGAUCUCCAAAAAAAACUAUUCUGAGGCU
Small nucleolar RNA from Onychomys torridus (southern grasshopper mouse), 66 nucleotides. RefSeq annotates it as small nucleolar RNA SNORD75. NCBI's taxonomy places the organism in Eukaryota, Metazoa, Chordata, Mammalia, Rodentia, Cricetidae. The record is from RefSeq and is a predicted model, not a curated record. The transcript has a single exon.